RNAcentral lists this ribosomal RNA (503 nucleotides) under uncultured bacterium. Its description in RNAcentral is "partial 16S ribosomal RNA". It matches the Rfam family "Bacterial small subunit ribosomal RNA", at positions 30 to 523 of the family's 1533-position model. The record is from RNAcentral.
AUUGAACGCUGGUGGCAGGCUUAACACAUGCAAGUCGAGCGGGGUGAUGGUGCUUGCACUAUCACUUAGCGGCGGACGGGUGAGUAAUGCUUAGGAAUCUGCCUAUUAGUGGGGGACAACAUCUCGAAAGGGAUGCUAAUACCGCAUACGUCCUACGGGAGAAAGCAGGGGAUCACUUGUGACCUUGCGCUAAUAGAUGAGCCUAAGUCGGAUUAGCUAGUUGGUGGGGUAAAGGCCUACCAAGGCGACGAUCUGUAGCGGGUCUGAGAGGACGAUCCGCCAAACUGGGACUGAGACACGGCCCAGACCCCUACGGGAGGCAGCAGUGGGGAAUAUUGGACAAUGGGGGGAACCCUGAUCCAGCCAUGCCGCGUGUGUGAAGAAGGCCUUAUGGUUGUAAAGCACUUUAAGCGAGGAGGAGGCUCUUUUGGUCAAUACCCAAGAUGAGUGGACGUUACUCGCAGAAUAAGCACCGGCUAACUCUGUGCCAGCCGCCGCAGUAA